This 146-nucleotide ribosomal RNA is filed under the name Paenibacillus macquariensis. RNAcentral describes it as "16S rRNA. Bacterial SSU". It matches the Rfam family "Bacterial small subunit ribosomal RNA", at positions 1 to 135 of the family's 1533-position model. Lineage: Bacteria; Bacillati; Bacillota; Bacilli; Caryophanales; Paenibacillaceae. The record is from RNAcentral.
CCAAUUUGGAGAGUUUGAUCCUGGCUCAGGACGAACGCUGGCGGCAUGCCUAAUACAUGCAAGUCGAGCGGAGUUGUUUUGAAAGCUUGCUUUCAAAACAACUUAGCGGCGGACGGGUGAGUAACACGUAGGUAACCUGCCUGUAA